GGAGAGGUGGCCGAGUGGCUGAAGGCAGGCGCCUGCUAAGCGUCUAGGGGUUAACGCCCCUCGCGGGUUCGAAUCCCGCCCUCUCCG
Molecule: transfer RNA, 87 nt
Filed under: bacterium
Lineage: Bacteria
Description: tRNA-Ser
Rfam family: tRNA
About the family: Transfer RNA (tRNA) molecules are approximately 80 nucleotides in length. Their secondary structure includes four short double-helical elements and three loops (D, anti-codon, and T loops). Further hydrogen bonds mediate the characteristic L-shaped molecular structure. tRNAs have two regions of fundamental functional importance: the anti-codon, which is responsible for specific mRNA codon recognition, and the 3' end, to which the tRNAs corresponding amino acid is attached (by aminoacyl-tRNA synthetases). tRNAs cope with the degeneracy of the genetic code in two manners: having more than one tRNA (with a specific anti-codon) for a particular amino acid; and 'wobble' base-pairing, i.e. permitting non-standard base-pairing at the 3rd anti-codon position.
Source: RNAcentral